UGAUAGGAGAUAAAAGCAAUUGAUAAAUGAAUUAUCAGAAGGUUUCUACAGACGUCCUGGUAAAUCACCAGUGCGGGGUUGAAAGAGUCAAGUCGGGCCUCGGUAUGUUUAAGGAUCAAACAUAUGUUUACAACCCACUUUUGAUGUAUGAAUUAUGGGUUAUCUAAAUAAGUUGUUUUGAUGUAAACUUACUCAACUUAUCAAAUAAAUAUAUAAUGUGAAAUUUUAA
This is a long non-coding RNA of Helianthus annuus (common sunflower), 229 nucleotides long. RefSeq lists it as uncharacterized. The transcript is spliced from 2 exons. Lineage: Eukaryota; Viridiplantae; Streptophyta; Magnoliopsida; Asterales; Asteraceae. The record is from RefSeq and is a predicted model, not a curated record.